This 535-nucleotide long non-coding RNA is filed under the name Mytilus galloprovincialis (Mediterranean mussel). Lineage: Eukaryota; Metazoa; Mollusca; Bivalvia; Mytilida; Mytilidae. The record is from RNAcentral.
AGAGAAUACAGACAGGGAAUGUGUCAAAGAGACAUCAACCCGACAAAAGAGCAGGAAACAACCCAAUGCCACCAAUGGGUCGUGUCAUCACCAAAGCGAGAUAAUCUCGCAUCCCGUAGCGGGAUUCAGCUUGCAGCAAGACAUUUCUAAAUGUGUAUUUCUGUAUGAUGUUUUUUUCCAAACAUUUUGUUUUUCAUAUAUGCUAUGCUGGUGACCAAAAAUUAAUAUGAUUUUAUUAACAUUUACUUUAUUUUGUAGACAAACCAAUGAUGAUUUCGGGACACAGAUGUAAUGUGUAAAAUGUGAAGAAUUAAAAACUCUAUAUAAAUAUACGAAUUUUCAUUGUAUCAUAAACAGCUUCAAUUUUAUAAGAAAAAAGAUUCAAAGAUUUUUUUUUAAUUACUGAAGCAGCAAUCAUUAUAAAUAAAUCACAGUAUCAAAAAUGUUGGGUUAACAUUAUUUUGAUAGCAACCACAAAGGGAAAAAAGGUACACAGACAUAUAUUAAGUAAAUAAAACAAACAUCAAGAAACACA